UACGGGGGGGGCAAGCGUUGUUCGGAAUUACUGGGCGUAAAGGGCUCGUAGGUGGCCAACUAAGUCAGACGUGAAAUCCCUCGGCUUAACCGGGGAACUGCGUCUGAUACUGGAUGGCUUGAGUUCGGGAGAGGGAUGCGGAAUUCCAGGUGUAGCGGUGAAAUGCGUAGAUAUCUGGAGGAACACCCGUGGCGAAGGCGGUUCUCUGGGACGGUACUGACGCUGAGACGCGAAAGCGUGGGGAGCGAACAGG
This 253-nucleotide ribosomal RNA is filed under the name uncultured bacterium. RNAcentral's name for it is "partial 16S ribosomal RNA". It matches the Rfam family "Bacterial small subunit ribosomal RNA", at positions 524 to 776 of the family's 1533-position model. The record is from RNAcentral.